RNAcentral lists this transfer RNA (75 nucleotides) under Cordylochernes scorpioides. Its description in RNAcentral is "tRNA-Thr". Lineage: Eukaryota; Metazoa; Arthropoda; Arachnida; Pseudoscorpiones; Chernetidae. The record is from RNAcentral.
AUCAAGGGAUGGGAAUCGAACCCACACGACCUUCCGCUUACCGGGCAGAUGCCAUGACCACUAGGCUACCCUGGA